AGAGUUUGAUCAUGGCUCAGAACGAACGCUGGCGGCAGGCCUAACACAUGCAAGUCGAGCGCGCCUUCGGGUGAGCGGCGGACGGGUUAGUAACGCGUGGGAACGUGCCCUUCUCUACGGAAUAGCCUCUGGAAACGGAGAGUAAUACCAUAUACGCCCUUUGGGGGAAAGAUUUAUCGGAGAAGGAUCGGCCCGCGUUAGAUUAGGUAGUUGGUGGGGUAACGGCCUACCAAGCCUACGAUCUAUAGCUGGUUUUAGAGGAUGAUCAGCAACACUGGGACUGAGACACGGCCCAGACUCCUACGGGAGGCAGCAGUGGGGAAUCUUAGACAAUGGGGGCAACCCUGAUCUAGCCAUGCCGCGUGAGUGAUGAAGGCCUUAGGGUCGUAAAGCUCUUUCGCCUGUGAUGAUAAUGACAGUAGCAGGUAAAGAAACCCCGGCUAACUCCGUGCCAGCAGCCGCGGUAAU
RNAcentral lists this ribosomal RNA (468 nucleotides) under uncultured bacterium. Its description in RNAcentral is "bacterial SSU rRNA". It matches the Rfam family "Bacterial small subunit ribosomal RNA", at positions 8 to 524 of the family's 1533-position model. The record is from RNAcentral.